AAAGGAAUUGACGGACCCGCACAAGCGGUGGAUCACGUUGUUUAAUUCGAUGAUACGCGAAGAACCUUACCAGGUCUUGACAUCCCCCGCGAUGCUUUAGAGAUAAAGCGGAGGUAUUCGGGGAGACAGGUGGUGCAUGGUUGUCGUCAGCUCGUGUCGUGAGAUGUUGGGUUAAGUCCCGCAACGAGCGCAACCCUUGUGUUUUAGUUGCAAACAGGUCAAGCUGUGCACUCUAGACAGACUGCCGUGGACAACACGGAGGAAGGUGGGGAUGACGUCAAAUCAUCAUGCCCCUUAUGACCUGGGCUACAAACGUGAUACAAUGGCUGGAACAAAGGGAUGCGAAGCAGUGAUGUGGAGCGAAACCCAUAAAAACAGUCUCAGUUCGGAUUGAAGUCUGCAACUCGACUUCAUGAAGUCGGAAUCGCUAGUAAUCGCGGAUCAGAACGCCGCGGUGAAUACGUUCUCGGGGUUU
Molecule: ribosomal RNA, 475 nt
Filed under: uncultured Acholeplasma sp.
Lineage: Bacteria; Bacillati; Mycoplasmatota; Mollicutes; Acholeplasmatales; Acholeplasmataceae
Description: bacterial SSU rRNA
Rfam family: Bacterial small subunit ribosomal RNA
Source: RNAcentral